This is a small nuclear RNA of Lontra canadensis (Northern American river otter), 147 nucleotides long. RefSeq annotates it as U4 spliceosomal RNA. Lineage: Eukaryota; Metazoa; Chordata; Mammalia; Carnivora; Mustelidae. The transcript has a single exon. The record is from RefSeq and is a predicted model, not a curated record.
AGCUUUGCGCAGUGGCAGUAUCGUAGCCAAUGAGGUUUAUCCAAGGCGCGAUUAUUGCUAAUUGAAAAAUGUUUCUAGGGGCACCUGGGGGGGCUCAGUCUGUCUUGGGAUCAGACUCCCCACUGGGCUUUAUACUCAGGGAAGAGU